RNAcentral lists this ribosomal RNA (253 nucleotides) under uncultured bacterium. RNAcentral's name for it is "partial 16S ribosomal RNA". It matches the Rfam family "Bacterial small subunit ribosomal RNA", at positions 524 to 776 of the family's 1533-position model. The record is from RNAcentral.
UACAGAGGUCCCAAGCGUUGUUCGGAUUCACUGGGCGUAAAGGGUGCGUAGGUGGUGAGGUAAGUCGGAUGUGAAAGCUCGGAGCUCGACUCCGAAAUGGCAUUGGAAACUACCUUGCUCGAGGGUUGGAGGGGGGACUGGAAUUCUCGGUGUAGCAGUGAAAUGCGUAGAUAUCGAGAGGAACACCAGUGGCGAAGGCGAGUCCCUGGACAACUCCUGACACUGAGGCACGAAAGCUAGGGGAGCAAACAGG